UAAUUCACUAAUAUAUAAAUAAUUAUACUUACAUAAUAGGAAGAAAAAAAAUUAAAUUUCAAUGUUUAUAUUGGCUAAAAAAUAAUUAUUAAAGGAAUUAUAGUCUAUUUAGUUGUUUUGAUAAUUAAAAUGAAUUUUAUAAUUAAUUUAUUUUGAGGAAAGUUGAAAAGUUGGUAGUAAUAAUAAAUUAAUAUUAUAGAAUAGUGGAAAAGUAAAAGCUGAACGAGUGGUGGUAAAAAGAGGCGGUGGCGUGUGACUAGGUUUUAUCAAAUGAAGUUUCAUUGUAUUAAAAUAUUAAUAAAAAGAAAGGAUCAGCUUCCUCUCUCUUCCUCUCUCUUUACACAGAAAUUUCGUCGCUCCACCGUCGCUCCACCGUCGCCUCAGCCGCCCCAACCGCCCCGGCUCGCCCCAGCCCGCCCCAGUCGCGCCCCAGCCCGCCCCAUGAAUAUCGUUCGGCCCAGGGUGGCUGGGGCGACUACAGCCGCGCCCUGACCGCCCCACGCCCCAAGCGCGCCCCAAGCGCGAUUUUCACAACACUGAAUGUAGUUACGAUUCACUAUCCCUAUCAUUGCCGAAAAAUGGGUUUUGGCCUACAUCGGAGUUAAAUGGAGAAGUUGGAAGCAUUAUUUGAAAAAAACAAGUUAUUGGGCUGAUGUACCUAUCGAGCACUUAAUACAUGACAAGGAUGAUAGAGUUUUGGAAGAUCAAUGGAUCAAAUGUCUUGCUUACUGGAGAAGGGAAGAUGCAAAGAAUAUAAGUAAGAGAAACCAAAAAGCUCGAUCAAAUAAGUUAAUGAAUCAAAGAACAUGACAGACGUUAUUGUGCAAGUUAAAGACACAUUGGUAAUGUUUUAUUUUUUCUAUGUGUAAUGUUAAUUGCUAUAAAUUUUGAUGAUUCUGAUUAUUUGCCUUAUGUUUCAGUGAGUGCAUAAAGUAAUUUUGGUCUAACAAUUGAAGAGAUUUGCAGGUUGGCAGAUAUCCUCGGCAUCUAAUAAGUUUGUUUUUCCGCUUGCUGUAUCCGUGGUAUUGGCCCUCGUCUUGUUAAAACUCUGUAGUUUCUAUAAGUUGUAUGUGUUUUGGUUGUAUAUAUCCGUGUGGAACAGUGGAAGUGUGGCUUUCAUGUAAAUCUAAUCUUUCAUCUCUCUGUUGAGAAGAGUUGUAGUCUGGAUGUUUUUAUGUAA
This is a long non-coding RNA of Salvia splendens (bonfire salvia), 1180 nucleotides long. RefSeq lists it as uncharacterized. Lineage: Eukaryota; Viridiplantae; Streptophyta; Magnoliopsida; Lamiales; Lamiaceae. The transcript has 3 exons. The record is from RefSeq and is a predicted model, not a curated record.